GACGAACGCUGGCGGCGUGCUUAACACAUGCAAGCCGAACGGUGAAGCGCCUUCCUUUUUGGUGGGUGUGGAUGAGUGGCGAACGGGUGAGUAACACGUGAGUAACCUGCCCCCUUCUUCUGGAUAACCGCAUGAAAGUGUGGCUAAUACGGGAUAUUCUGGGUCUGUCGCAUGAUGGGUCUGGGAAAGAUAUUGUUUCGGUGGGGGAUGGGCUCGCGGCCUAUCAGCUUGUUGGUGGGGUGAUGGCCUACCAAGGCGGUGACGGGUAGCCGGCCUGAGAGGGUGGACGGUCACACUGGGACUGAGACACGGCCCAGACUCCUACGGGAGGCAGCAGUGGGGAAUAGUGCACAAUGGGCGCAAGCCUGAUGCAGCGACGCCGCGUGAGGGAUGGAGGCCUUCGGGUUGUGAACCUCUUUCGCCAGUGAAGCAGGCCUGCCUCGUUUGUGGGUGGGUUGACGGUAGCUGGAUAAGAAGCGCCGGCUAACUACGUG
This 494-nucleotide ribosomal RNA is filed under the name uncultured bacterium. RNAcentral's name for it is "partial 16S ribosomal RNA". It matches the Rfam family "Bacterial small subunit ribosomal RNA", at positions 28 to 507 of the family's 1533-position model. The record is from RNAcentral.